UAGGGAAUCUUCCACAAUGGACGCAAGUCUGAUGGAGCAACGCCGCGUGAGUGAAGAAGGUUUUCGGACCGUAAAGCUCUGUUGUUGGUGAAGAAGGAUAGAGGUAGUAACUGGCCUUUAUUUGACGGUAAUCAACCAGAAAGUCACGGCUAACUACGUGCCAGCAGCCGCGGUAAUCGUAGGUGGCAAGCGUUGUCCGGAUUUAUUGGGCGUAAAGCGAGCGCAGGCGGAAGAAUAAGUCUGAUGUGAAAGCCCUCGGCUUAACCGAGGAAUUGCAUCGGAAACUGUUUUCUUGAGUGCAGAAGAGGAGAGUAGAACUCCAUGUGUAGCGGUGGAAUGCGUAGAUAUAUGGAAGAAUACCAGUGGCGAAGGCGGCUCUCUGGUCUGCAACUGACGCUGAGGCUCGAAAGCAUGGGUAGCGAACAGGAUUAGAUACCCUGGUAGUCCAUGCCGUAAACGAUGAGUGCUAAGUGUUGGGAGGCUUCCGCCUCUCAGUGCUGCAGCUAACGCAUUAAGCACUCCGCCUGGGGGAGUACGACCGCAAGGU
This 547-nucleotide ribosomal RNA is filed under the name uncultured bacterium. RNAcentral describes it as "partial 16S ribosomal RNA". It matches the Rfam family "Bacterial small subunit ribosomal RNA", at positions 355 to 894 of the family's 1533-position model. The record is from RNAcentral.